CAGUCGCCGCGGUAAUACAGAGGGUGCGAGCGUUAAUCGGAUUUACUGGGCGUAAAGCGUGCGUAGGAGGCUUCUUAAGUCGGAUGUGAAAUCCCUGAGCUUAACUUAGGAAUUGCAUUCGAUACUGGGAAGCUAGAGUAUGGGAGAGGAUGGUAGAAUUCCAGGUGUAGCGGUGAAAUGCGUAGAGAUCUGGAGGAAUACCGAUGGCGAAGGCAGCCAUCUGGCCUAAUACUGACGCUGAGGUACGAAAGCAUGGGGAGCAAACAGGAUUAGAUACCCCGGUAGUCCCUGUCUCUUAUAC
This 301-nucleotide ribosomal RNA is filed under the name uncultured bacterium. RNAcentral's name for it is "partial 16S ribosomal RNA". It matches the Rfam family "Bacterial small subunit ribosomal RNA", at positions 509 to 807 of the family's 1533-position model. The record is from RNAcentral.